Long non-coding RNA from Micropterus salmoides (largemouth bass), 2520 nucleotides. RefSeq lists it as uncharacterized. Lineage: Eukaryota; Metazoa; Chordata; Actinopteri; Centrarchiformes; Centrarchidae. The transcript is spliced from 3 exons. The record is from RefSeq and is a predicted model, not a curated record.
UGCAUUGUAGGCUUCCACUUUGUCAGUCUGUGAACAAGGAGGCGAAGAGCAUGAAAGGAUAUCAUUAGUUUCCCAAGGAGACUCAGAUAAAGGGAGAGAGAAUCUGAGGACAAAGAUUGCUGGGUCAUAUGAUGUGCUCUCAGGAGGACUUACUGAUGUUGGCUGCAGAUAGCAAAAUAACAAAAUUAUGUUAUAGUCCAGAGCAGCUGCCAAUGGAGGCUAAAACUCAGCCCCCUCUGGGACAGCCAUGCAGAGCUAAAAGGCCCUGGCUCCCACACAGCCAUGCAGCAGAGGUCGAGGCCAGCGAGCAUUUCUGCUAAGUCGCUCCACUCGACGGCCACGGCUGAGAAGUUUGGUUUAUAACCUCUGCAAAGACACAACCGUUUAAUAAACAGACACUCACUGUGGGCGAUGGGUAUAAAUAUCAGGGGACAUCAUCUAAUACCCUCAGUCGUGUAAAUCCAUCCAUGUGUAUGAUAUGCUUCCAUUCUGGGAUAAGGUCAGAAUUAAAUUGGGCUCCCACUGCAGGCAGAAUGACAGUAUUUGCUAUUCUUGAGAUCAUUAUCUCAGAUUUCAUCAAAGCAUGAGGUAAACCAAAAUUGCACACGGAGCCACUAUACAUACAUAUCAAGCACUAUAGUAAGAUUAGAGACGCGUCAUCACUGACUUUAAGCACUAUACACUUGAGUAUAUAUGCAAGCAAGUGAGACCGAAUGUUUAAAUUUCUUUGAUUGCUGACUACAAUAUUUGGUUGUUGCUAAGUGACCGUGAGGAUGAUUCACCCCUCCUCAGGCGAAGGGACAUGCCAACUUCAAUGAAUAAUACUGAGCAGACUAGCCCAACUCAGAGGAAAUCGUGUUGUUAUGAGUUCAGUGAUGUAGCUGUUAUUGUUAGGUGUAAACCAUACCUCUCCCAGUAAUCUGUCAGAGCCGCUGGCCUCCUCACACAGGCAACCCUUACAGAAGACAUUUGUCCUUCUAGCAGAUGAUUUUUUUUUUUUACUGCCUACAAUCAUAAGCUAAUUUCAGUAGUUCUCAGCCUUCAGAUGGAACUCCCCUCAGGGUUGUGAGAUGGUUUUGAAGAAGGUGAGUAUUACAAGAUGAGUGUUAUAAUAAUCAUCAAUAGUAUCAUUUUUAACACAUUAAUGUAGCAAUACACUGACAAUUGGUCUUAUUUAUUUAUUUUUUUGGUGAUUUCAGGCAGCUCUUUUGUUUUAGAUGCCAUUUAGCUUUUUAAUAGGACACUAUUUCACAAUUUGUAUUACUCUUGAUUUUCUAAUCACAAGAAGUGAAUAAGUGUUGUUCGAAUUUGAAGACUUGAAACCUGAAAGGGUUUGAAGUGUCAGCUGAAGUGUAUCCUUGAAAAGAGUUUAAAUGUAAGUUGAAGAGCACUAGAUGAAUAAGCAGUGGAAACAUUUUAAAUAGUUGAAAUAGCCUACUGAAACAGCUGAAGUAUUAGUUGAAGUCACAACACAAAUACCGAAUUAAGUUAAAAUUACAAAAUGAUAAAAUAGUGGUGCUGAAAGGAGUUGAAGUUUAAGGCUUAGAAAUAGGUUAAAGUCGGUGUGUGGAUUCGGUUAAAGAAAUGAUAAACUACAAGAAGAUGUCAGCUGAAGUGUAAACACUCACAGCAGUUAAGUUAAUUGUGUAUGAAAAUGAAAAGUUGUGAAAGAGGUGAAGGCGUUUUUUGUAGUUGUUUAAAAGACCUGAAAGGCUUUGAAGUGUCAAUUGAAAAUGAAGCAUUAAAAAGAGUUGAAAUUGUCAGUUGAAGAGUAAAAGAUGGAAAGGGAGGCAGCAUAUCACAUAUCAGGUCAUACUGUAACUGCUACUAACUGGCGUAAGCUACUUAGUAGCAGUUAGCCAUGCAGCUAACUGGAAAGGACUCCAAAACCUGAGCCAGGCGCGUGGGCAAUGAAACCGGCCUCCCAGUGAUCACAGCCGAUCACAGCCUCCGAGAAAAGGAGGCCAGUUCGAUGACAGAGAAUAUAGUACCGAGGUGAUUUACAGCGGCUCCGACCAGGACCAUCAGAGAGCUUGUAACAGAAUGUAAAGCCAAACACAUGACACAUGUGUCACAAAUAUGGCGCACAACCCGUCCUCCCGCUCUACAAUGGCGAAAAAGCCCAGCAAGCUCUGACUGAUAUGUGCUGGGUCCAGGCUACAAGGAAAAUAGCACUCAUGACUCUUCCCAGGACAAGUGUGCUGGUAGCCUUCUCCAUCCCUUUCUUGUUAGGUAACACAUUCACCAUUCUUUUUCUGUUAAGAAACAGGAUGCACUCAUUACAUCCUGCUAAUUUAGUAUUAAUUCCUCGUCAGCCGCAGUCCGCUGAAAACAAAAGAGGGCCAGAUAAUGUUUUUAACACACUAAAUUUAGCUUUGUUAAACAUUAGGUCUUUGGCAGCAAAAACAUUUUAAUCAGUGAUUUUAUAAUUACUCACAAUGUUAAUUUCAUGUUUUUAAAUGAAACUUGGUUGGACCAAGAAAACAGUGCAGCUGUCCUUAUCGAGUCUACCCUUCCCAA